This 429-nucleotide ribosomal RNA is filed under the name Pseudomonadota bacterium. RNAcentral's name for it is "Proteobacteria bacterium partial 16S ribosomal RNA". It matches the Rfam family "Bacterial small subunit ribosomal RNA", at positions 355 to 776 of the family's 1533-position model. Lineage: Bacteria; Pseudomonadati; Pseudomonadota. The record is from RNAcentral.
UGGGGAAUAUUGGACAAUGGGCGAAAGCCUGAUCCAGCCAUGCCGCGUGUGUGAAGAAGGUCUUCGGAUUGUAAAGCACUUUAAGUUGGGAGGAAGGGCAGUAAGCGAAUACCUUGCUGUUUUGACGUUACCGACAGAAUAAGCACCGGCUAACUCUGUGCCAGCAGCCGCGGUAAUACAGAGGGUGCAAGCGUUAAUCGGAAUUACUGGGCGUAAAGCGCGCGUAGGUGGUUCGUUAAGUUGAAUGUGAAAGCCCCGGGCUCAAACUGGGAAGUGCAUCCAAAACUGGCGAGCUAGAGUAGGGCAGAGGGGGGUGGAAUUUCCUGUGUAGCGGUGAAAUGCGUAGAUAUAGGAAGGAACACCAGUGGCGAAGGCGACCACCUGGGCUCAUACUGACACUGAGGUGCGAAAGCGUGGGGAGCAAACAGG